This 480-nucleotide ribosomal RNA is filed under the name uncultured bacterium. RNAcentral's name for it is "partial 16S ribosomal RNA". It matches the Rfam family "Bacterial small subunit ribosomal RNA", at positions 28 to 507 of the family's 1533-position model. The record is from RNAcentral.
GACGAACGCUGGCGGCGUGCUUAACACAUGCAAGUCGAACGAUGAAGAAAAGAAUUGAAGCUUCGGCAGAAAUUCAUUUCGGAUUAGUGGCAGACGGGUGGGUAACGCGUGAGCAACCUACCUCUUACAAAGGGAUAGCCUCGGGAAACCGGGAUUAAUACCAUAUAACAUUGCGACGAAGCAUUUCGAUGCAAUCAAAGCUACGGCGGUAAGAGAUGGGCUCGCGUCCCAUUAACCAGAUGGUGAGGUAACGGCUCACCAUAGUAACGAUGGGUAACCGGCCUGAGAGGGUGAACGGUCACACUGGAACUGAGACACGGUCCAGACUCCUACGGGAGGCAGCAGUGGGGAAUAUUGCACAAUGGAGGGAGCUCUGAUGCAGCGACGCCGCGUGAGUGAUGAAGGAAUUCGUUUCGUAAAACUCUGUUCUAUGGGAAGAAAAGGACUGUACCAUAGGAGAAAGCUCCGGCUAAAUACGUG